Molecule: transfer RNA, 67 nt
Filed under: Micromelo undatus (miniature melo)
Lineage: Eukaryota; Metazoa; Mollusca; Gastropoda; Aplustridae
Description: Micromelo undata (miniature melo) tRNA-Trp
Source: RNAcentral
AGAACUAUAGGUUAAAAUAAACCCUUGACCUUCAAAGUCGAUAAUAGUACCCUCAUGCUUAGUUCUG